CCUACGGGUGGCAGCAGUGGGGAAUAUUGCACAAUGGGGGAAACCCUGAUGCAGCAACGCCGCGUGAGUGAAGAAGGCCUUCGGGUUGUAAAGCUCUGUCUUCAGGGACGAAAAUGACGGUAACUGACGAGUAAGCCACGGCUAACUACGAGCCAGCAGCCGCGGUAAUACGUCGGGGGCGAGCGUUCGCCGGAUUUACUGGGCGUAAAGGGAGCGUAGGCGGACUUUUAAGUCAGAUGGGAAAUCCAUGGGCUUAACCUGGGUGGUGCAUUUGAAACUGGAAGUCUAGAGUGCAGGAGAGGAGAAUGGAAUUCCUAGUGUAGCGGUGAAAUGCGUAGAGAUUUGGAAGAACACCAGUGGCGAAGGCGAUUCUCUGGACUGUAACUGACGCUGAGGCUCGAAAGCGUGGGGAGCAAACAGGAUUAGAUACCCGUGUAGUC
This 440-nucleotide ribosomal RNA is filed under the name uncultured bacterium. RNAcentral describes it as "partial 16S ribosomal RNA". It matches the Rfam family "Bacterial small subunit ribosomal RNA", at positions 338 to 795 of the family's 1533-position model. The record is from RNAcentral.